Molecule: non-coding RNA, 30 nt
Filed under: Homo sapiens (human)
Lineage: Eukaryota; Metazoa; Chordata; Mammalia; Primates; Hominidae
Source: RNAcentral
UAUUGAUGACUUUCAGAGGCCUGAUGCUUC